Molecule: microRNA precursor, 200 nt
Filed under: Dichanthelium oligosanthes
Lineage: Eukaryota; Viridiplantae; Streptophyta; Magnoliopsida; Poales; Poaceae
Description: MIR1435 microRNA precursor family
Rfam family: MIR1435 microRNA precursor family
Source: Rfam by way of RNAcentral
UUGGUUUGUCCUAAGUCAAACUUGUUCAACUUUGACCAAAUUUAUACAAAAAUAUAACAACAACUACACUAUCAAACAUAUGCACUAUCAAAAUAUAUUCCAUGGUGGAUUCAACCAAACAAAUUUGAUAUUGUAAAUAUUACUAUAUUUUUCUAUAAGUUUGGUCAAAGUUGCACAAGUUUGACUUAGGACAAACCAAA